RNAcentral lists this unclassified non-coding RNA (161 nucleotides) under uncultured Hydnobolites. Its description in RNAcentral is "sequence contains ITS1". The record is from RNAcentral. Lineage: Eukaryota; Fungi; Ascomycota; Pezizomycetes; Pezizales; Pezizaceae.
UAGAGGGCUACGGCUCCCUGUUUGAUAUUACCAAAUUGAUAUUUUCUUCUCUGUUGCUUCCACCUUUUAUGACCCUGUUAUAGAUAGUGGGAGGUUUUUUCAAUACUAUUUUUCUUGCUGAGACUUUUGAAUUGUCUGAAUAUAUGAGGGAAAAUGCUAUA